RNAcentral lists this ribosomal RNA (497 nucleotides) under uncultured bacterium. RNAcentral's name for it is "partial 16S ribosomal RNA". It matches the Rfam family "Bacterial small subunit ribosomal RNA", at positions 28 to 507 of the family's 1533-position model. The record is from RNAcentral.
GAUGAACGCUGGCGGCGUGCCUAAUACAUGCAAGUCGAGCGAACAGACGAGGAGCUUGCUCCUCUGACGUUAGCGGCGGACGGGUGAGUAACACGUGGAUAACCUACCUAUAAGACUGGGAUAACUUCGGGAAACCGGAGCUAAUACCGGAUAAUAUAUUGAACCGCAUGGUUCAAUAGUGAAAGUCGGUUUUGCUGUCACUUAUAGCUGGAUCCGCGCCGCAUUAGCUAGUUGGUAAGGUAACGGCUUACCAAGGCAACGAUGCGUAGCCGACCUGAGAGGAUGAUCGGCCACACUGGAACUGAGACACGGUCCAGACUCCUACGGGAGGCAGCAGUAGGGAAUCUUCCGCAAUGGGCGAAAGCCUGACGGAGCAACGCCGCGUGAGUGAUGAAGGUCUUCGGAUCGUAAAACUCUGUUAUUAGGGAAGAACAAAUGUGUAAGUAACUAUGCACGUCUUGACGGUACCUAAUCAGAAAGCCACGGCUAACUACGUG